Molecule: ribosomal RNA, 536 nt
Filed under: uncultured Klebsiella sp.
Lineage: Bacteria; Pseudomonadati; Pseudomonadota; Gammaproteobacteria; Enterobacterales; Enterobacteriaceae
Description: bacterial SSU rRNA
Rfam family: Bacterial small subunit ribosomal RNA
Source: RNAcentral
GUGCCAGCCCGGCGGUAAUACGGAGGGUGCAAGCGUUAAUCGGAAUUACUGGGCGUAAAGCGCACGCAGGCGGUCUGUCAAGUCGGAUGUGAAAUCCCCGGGCUCAACCUGGGAACUGCAUUCGAAACUGGCAGGCUAGAGUCUUGUAGAGGGGGGUAGAAUUCCAGGUGUAGCGGUGAAAUGCGUAGAGAUCUGGAGGAAUACCGGUGGCGAAGGCGGCCCCCUGGACAAAGACUGACGCUCAGGUGCGAAAGCGUGGGGAGCAAACAGGAUUAGAUACCCUGGUAGUCCACGCCGUAAACGAUGUCGAUUUGGAGGUUGUGCCCUUGAGGCGUGGCUUCCGGAGCUAACGCGUUAAAUCGACCGCCUGGGGAGUACGGCCGCAAGGUUAAAACUCAAAUGAAUUGACGGGGGCCCGCACAAGCGGUGGAGCAUGUGGUUUAAUUCGAUGCAACGCGAAGAACCUUACCUGGUCUUGACAUCCACAGAACUUUCCAGAGAUGGAUUGGUGCCUUCGGGAACUGUGAGACAGGUGC